Molecule: ribosomal RNA, 776 nt
Filed under: uncultured Neocallimastigales
Lineage: Eukaryota; Fungi; Neocallimastigomycota; Neocallimastigomycetes; Neocallimastigales
Description: partial large subunit ribosomal RNA
Rfam family: Eukaryotic large subunit ribosomal RNA
Source: RNAcentral
UAUGUGAUCGUCUCUCGCAUAUCAAUAAGCGGAGGAAAAGAAACUAACAAGGAUUCCCCUAGUAACGGCGAGUGAAGCGGGAAGAGCUCAAAUUUGAAAUCUUAAAGGGUUUCCCUUUACGAAUUGUAGUUUAAAGAAGUGUUUUCUGUUGAGGUUUUGGUAAAAGUUCUUUGGAAUAGGACAUCAUAGAGGGUGAGAAUCCCGUAUUUGACCUUUACUUUCAACUUUGUGAUACACUUUCAAAGAGUCGGAUUGUUUGGGAAUGCAGUCCAAAAUGGGUGGUAAAUUUCAUCUAAAGCUAAAUAUUGGCGAGAGACCGAUAGCGAACAAGUACCGUGAGGGAAAGAUGAAAAGAACUUUGAAAAGAGAGUUAAACAGUACGUGAAAUUGUCAAAAGGGAAGCGUUUGACACCAGUGUUGUUUUUCUGAAAAUCAAUUAGAGAACUGUUUAUGCUAAGCUGUUUAGACUUUAUCAGCUAAUCUGUUUAGUUUUGAGCUUUUCUUUAAUGCACUUUUCAGUUAACAAGUCAACAUCAAUUUCUUUUGCUGUAAAAAAGCUUGAGGAAGGUGGCUUGAGAUUCGUCUUAAGUGUUUAUAGCCUCUUGCCUAUGCAGUCGGAGAGAUUGAGGUCUGCAGCGUAGAUCCCUUCGGGGCUAAAUGCAUUUGUGCUAAGUUAUAGCAUUUUAUAGACAACUUGUUGACUAUGAUUUGUCUUGUAGCUUACUCGCUUAUGUUAUUUUACCUACGCUUAGGAUGUUGAGCGCAUGUCUCUCUCU